UAUGCUCACUGGCAUAACAUGAAUAAUGAAAGAAGGGAAACUGAUCCUAAAACAUCUCAUAGCCUCCUGCACAUAAAUGUGGUGCACAACACACCCAUGUACAAGACUCUACUUGAUGUAGCUUUUAAAUUUCCUAGGACACUGUUAAAUGUUAGGCUCUGAUACCAAGUUUAUAACACCUCAAAUCUGAUACCCAUAAUGCUAUAUGGUACUUAUGACCCUG
Molecule: long non-coding RNA, 223 nt
Filed under: Capsicum annuum
Lineage: Eukaryota; Viridiplantae; Streptophyta; Magnoliopsida; Solanales; Solanaceae
Description: long non-coding RNA (CANN_LNC019066)
Source: RNAcentral